Clupea harengus (Atlantic herring) is the source of this 707-nucleotide long non-coding RNA. Lineage: Eukaryota; Metazoa; Chordata; Actinopteri; Clupeiformes; Clupeidae. The record is from Ensembl.
CUGACCCUGUGGGAAGUUCUUUGACCGAAAGCUACACACACGGAGAUGUGCCUCCUCCAGACGCUCCGGUGAUUUACAGGGCUGUAUCUUCUGACCCUGUGGGAAGUUCUUUGACCGAAAGCUACACACACGGAAAUAUGCCCCCUCCAUACACUCCGGUGAUUUACGGGCCCCGGUGGUAUGACUGGGAUGAAAACUUUUUGGCCUGAAUCUAAACAGAAGUGGGCUUGUUUUUCUUUUCUUUUUUCAAUGUUGUUGUUAUUUUACAGCCCUAAUUUGUGGGUUGUUUUGAGUUCACAAUGAAGAUAAAUGAGAAUGUGUGAUGCAUCUGCAGCCUCGUGAAUCAGAAAGGCACCCAUGGCCUGUGUCCUGAGUCCUGCUUGGCCCCUAUUUGAUAUUUCAUUUCUGCGUUUACUGAUGGGGUUGUAUUGAUUUUUCUUUUUGCUCGUUUUGAAAGCAGAAUAGCAAUAAAGCCUUGGUUAAAAGUAAUAGUUCCCGUCAUUUCAUACUUGAGAAUGCUGCAGAAAGUUCCAUUGAUUUAAAAUGGGCGACGGCAAGCAAAAUGUCAUCUGAAAUAUAGGCUUUAAUUAAUCAAUGGUGGUCUAUCAAGUAACUACAGCUGCCAUGAAGCCAUUUAAUCUAUGUUACGCAGCUAACAGUUGACCCCUCGACCUUAGGGGAAUCCUACCGUUCUAUGGUUUAGUGGU